GACGAUCUGUAGCUGGUCUGAGAGGACGACCAGCCACACUGGGACUGAGACACGGCCCCAGACUCCUACGGGAGGCAGCAGUGGGGAAUUUUGGACAAUGGGCGAAAGCCUGAUCCAGCAAUGCCGCGUGUGUGAAGAAGGCCUUCGGGUUGUAAAGCACUUUUGUCCGGAAAGAAAACCUCCGCCCUAAUAUGGUGGGGGGAUGACGGUACCGGAAGAAUAAGCACCGGCUAACUACGUGCCAGCAGCCGCGGUAAUACGUAGGGUGCAAGCGUUAAUCGGAAUUACUGGGCGUAAAGCGUGCGCAGGCGGUCCGCUAAGACAGAUGUGAAAUCCCCGGGCUUAACCUGGGAACUGCAUUUGUGACUGGCGGGCUAGAGUAUGGCAGAGGGGGGUAGAAUUCCACGUGUAGCAGUGAAAUGCGUAGAGAUGUGGAGGAAUACCGAUGGCGAAGGCAGCCCCCUGGGCCAAUACUGACGCUCAUGCACGAAAGCGUGGGGAGCAAACAGGAUUAGAUACCCUGGUAGUCCACGCCCUAAACGAUGUCAACUAGUUGUUGGGGAUUCAUUUCCUUAGUAACGUAGCUAACGCGUGAAGUUGACCGCCUGGGGAGUACGGUCGCAAGAUUAAAACUCAAAGGAAUUGACGGGGACCCGCACAAGCGGUGGAUGAUGUGGAUUAAUUCGAUGCAACGCGAAAAACCUUACCUACCCUUGACAUGUAUGG
Molecule: ribosomal RNA, 726 nt
Filed under: Paraburkholderia sp.
Lineage: Bacteria; Pseudomonadati; Pseudomonadota; Betaproteobacteria; Burkholderiales; Burkholderiaceae
Description: bacterial SSU rRNA
Rfam family: Bacterial small subunit ribosomal RNA
Source: RNAcentral